GCGGGCGUAGUUUACCGGUAAAACGAAUCCCUUCCAAGGAUUAGUAGGCGGUUCGAUUCCGCUCGCCCGCU
RNAcentral lists this transfer RNA (71 nucleotides) under Patescibacteria group bacterium. RNAcentral's name for it is "tRNA-Gly". It matches the Rfam family "tRNA". From Rfam's summary of the family: Transfer RNA (tRNA) molecules are approximately 80 nucleotides in length. The record is from RNAcentral.